RNAcentral lists this long non-coding RNA (454 nucleotides) under Bos indicus x Bos taurus (hybrid cattle). RNAcentral describes it as "lncRNA (ENSBIXG00000003640.1)". Lineage: Eukaryota; Metazoa; Chordata; Mammalia; Artiodactyla; Bovidae. The record is from RNAcentral.
AUGGAAAUCUAUCAGCACCGUCAUUUCUCAUCAACAUUGAGAAGUGUUUUACAUCAGACCGUUAUGCAAUCUUCUCCAACUAGACUGCCUUUCACCUUCAUCUAUGCUAAGCCAAGGUCCUCCCAGCCAAAAGAAACGAAAAACAUCACCUCCUCCAGGAAGACUUUCUUUCUUUGCUAUUUCAAGUCUUCUAAAUUGCAGUUACAAGUUCAGAAUUCUGUGCUGCAUUCCUUUGGGUCUUAGAAGAACAUCCACCCUGAGAAGGAAGUAACCUAGCAGAGGUUAAGUGAAGGUGUUUGAUACUCACUUGGUAUUCACGUAGGAGACAGUAGAUUACAUGACUUAGUGCUUGCAAAGCAAUUAGAAUACUGCCUUGAGUCCAGUGAGCUUUAGAUAAGUGUCUGUUAAACAGAAACAAAAUAAAUGUAGUGGAAAGCUGCUAUUUUUGCUUCCC